UGAUGAUAGUGAGGGCAAUUUCUGAGCAUACCCUUAAAUCUCUCCCAAGCUUGGUAGAGAUUAUCUCUUUUUUUUUUGUCUAAAACUCAAGAUCUCUCUCCUCAAGCA
RNAcentral lists this small nucleolar RNA (108 nucleotides) under Capsicum annuum. RNAcentral describes it as "Plant small nucleolar RNA R71". It matches the Rfam family "Plant small nucleolar RNA R71". Rfam says of the family: R71 is a member of the C/D box family of snoRNAs containing the C (UGAUGA) and D (CUGA) box motifs. The record is from Rfam by way of RNAcentral. Lineage: Eukaryota; Viridiplantae; Streptophyta; Magnoliopsida; Solanales; Solanaceae.